GAUGAAGAACGUAGCGAAAUGCGAUAAGUAAUGCGAAUUGCAGAAUUCCAGUGAGUCAUCGAAUCUUUGAACGCACAUUGCGCCCCUUGGUAUUCCAUGGGGCAUGCCUGUUCGAGCGUCAUUUGUACCUUCAAGCUUUGCUUGGUGUUGGGGAUCGGCCAAAGCCCGCGAGGGACGGCCGGCCCCUAAAUCUAGUGGCGGACCCGUCGUGGCCUCCUCUGCGAAGUAGUGAUAUUCCGCAUCGGAGAGCGACGAGCCCCUGCCGUUAAACCCCCAACUUUCCAAGGUUGACCUCAGAUCAGGUAGGAAUACCCGCUGAACUUAAGCAUAUCAUAAGCGGAGGA
This 344-nucleotide unclassified non-coding RNA is filed under the name soil metagenome. RNAcentral describes it as "partial contains 5.8S ribosomal RNA, internal transcribed spacer 2, and large subunit ribosomal RNA". The stretch from base 1 to 121 matches the Rfam family "5.8S ribosomal RNA", at positions 35 to 154 of the family's 154-position model. The record is from RNAcentral.